RNAcentral lists this ribosomal RNA (253 nucleotides) under uncultured Dysgonomonas sp. Its description in RNAcentral is "partial 16S ribosomal RNA". It matches the Rfam family "Bacterial small subunit ribosomal RNA", at positions 524 to 776 of the family's 1533-position model. The record is from RNAcentral. Lineage: Bacteria; Pseudomonadati; Bacteroidota; Bacteroidia; Bacteroidales; Dysgonomonadaceae.
UACGGAGGAUGCGAGCGUUAUCCGGAUUUAUUGGGUUUAAAGGGUGCGCAGGCGGGAGAUUAAGUCAGCGGUGAAAUCUGGACGCUCAACGUUCAAAUUGCCGUUGAAACUGGUUUUCUUGAGUGUGGUUGAAGUAGGCGGAAUUCGUUGUGUAGCGGUGAAAUGCUUAGAUAUCACGCAGAACUCCGAUUGCGAAGGCAGCUUACUAAACUAUAACUGACGCUCAAGCACGAAAGCGUGGGGAUCAAACAGG